UACGUAGGGAGCAAGCGUUGUCCGGAAUUACUGGGCGUAAAGCGCGCGUAGGCUGUUGUGUAAGUUGGGGGUGAAAUCCCACGGCUCAACCGUGGAACAGCCCUUGAUACUGCGCGACUUGAAUCCGGGAGAGGGUGGCGGAAUUCCAGGUGUAGGAGUGAAAUCCGUAGAUAUCUGGAGGAACAUCAGUGGCGAAGGCGGCCUGCUGGACGGUGACUGACGCUGAGGCUCGAAAGCGUGGGGAGCAAACAGG
This 253-nucleotide ribosomal RNA is filed under the name uncultured Desulfovibrio sp. Its description in RNAcentral is "partial 16S ribosomal RNA". It matches the Rfam family "Bacterial small subunit ribosomal RNA", at positions 524 to 776 of the family's 1533-position model. Lineage: Bacteria; Pseudomonadati; Thermodesulfobacteriota; Desulfovibrionia; Desulfovibrionales; Desulfovibrionaceae. The record is from RNAcentral.